This is a long non-coding RNA of Physella acuta, 421 nucleotides long. RefSeq lists it as uncharacterized. Lineage: Eukaryota; Metazoa; Mollusca; Gastropoda; Physidae. The record is from RefSeq and is a predicted model, not a curated record.
GACGAUAUAUCGAGACCAAACGAUCUUGUAUCGUCAUUUGACAGUGAAGGUCGACUCGCACGGUGCAAUCAAAUCUCCCCCAGCACAAGCUUCUACAAUGGCCCUUGAAGGUACUCACUCUACAACCACCGUUGCCCUAGUUGUCGCAGCUAGCGCUGUUGUCGCAUUUUUGGUGGGCUACAAACUCGGACAGAAAGGUUGCUGUUCAAAGAAAUGAUCUUUUAGCCCGUUUUAGGUCAAGCUGCUAUUGCGUGGAUCGAGUAUGUGGCACAUGAAUGCAGAGGACACACGAAAUGAUAUCUGUGAUAUAAAAGCUCUAUGACAACGUGUGAAUGAUUGCAGGCGGAUGAAUUAUUUUUAUGAAUGAAAUACUUUCUUCGAUAUGUGACGGAUGGUCUAAUACAAUUUUUAAGUAAAAAUA